UACGGAGGGUGCAAGCGUUAUCCGGAUUCACUGGGUUUAAAGGGUGCGUAGGCGGAAUGGAAAGUCCGUUGUGAAAUCUCCGAGCUUAACUCGGAAAUUGCGGUGGAUACUAUCAUUCUUGAAUACUGUGGAGGUUAGCGGAAUAUGUCAUGUAGCGGUGAAAUGCAUAGAUAUGACAUAGAACACCAAUUGCGAAGGCAGCUGGCUACACAAAUAUUGACACUGAGGCACGAAAGCGUGGGGAGCAAACAGG
Molecule: ribosomal RNA, 253 nt
Filed under: uncultured bacterium
Lineage: Bacteria
Description: partial 16S ribosomal RNA
Rfam family: Bacterial small subunit ribosomal RNA
Source: RNAcentral